This 373-nucleotide ribosomal RNA is filed under the name uncultured organism. RNAcentral's name for it is "partial 16S ribosomal RNA". It matches the Rfam family "Bacterial small subunit ribosomal RNA", at positions 527 to 896 of the family's 1533-position model. The record is from RNAcentral.
GUAGGUGGCAAGCGUUGUCCGGAAUUAUUGGGCGUAAAGCGCGCGCAGGCGGUUCUUUAAGUCUGAUGUGAAAGCCCACGGCUCAACCGUGGAGGGUCAUUGGAAACUGGAGAACUUGAGUACAGAAGAGGAAAGCGGAAUUCCACGUGUAGCGGUGAAAUGCGUAGAGAUGUGGAGGAACACCAGUGGCGAAGGCGGCUUUCUGGUCUGUAACUGACGCUGAGGCGCGAAAGCGUGGGGAGCAAACAGGGAUUAGAUACCCUGGUAGUCCACGCCGUAAACGAUGAGUGCUAAGUGUUAGGGGGUUUCCGCCCCCUUAGUGCUGCAGCUAACGCAUUAAGCACUCCGCCUGGGAAGUACGGCCGCAAGGCUG